This 728-nucleotide ribosomal RNA is filed under the name Candelariella faginea. RNAcentral's name for it is "partial small subunit ribosomal RNA". It matches the Rfam family "Bacterial small subunit ribosomal RNA", at positions 401 to 987 of the family's 1533-position model. The record is from RNAcentral. Lineage: Eukaryota; Fungi; Ascomycota; Candelariomycetes; Candelariales; Candelariaceae.
GUAUAGCGUAAGACUAAUUGUAGUAAUACAAUAUCGACUAUGUCGGAUAAAGUUCUAGAUAGAAUAAUGAUGAUGACAAUUUUCUAUCUAUAUGUCUUGGCCAAAUCUCGUGCCAGCAGCCGCGGUAAUACGAGGAAGACUAGUGUUAUUCAUCUUUAAUAGGUUUAAAGGGUACCUAGACGGUAUUUUUAGCCCAAAACAGGGUACGGAUUUACUAGAGUUUUAUGUGAGAAGGGGAGUACUUAUGGAGUAGGGAUGAAAUCCUUUUAUACUAUGGGGUAACUGGUAGAGGCGAAAGCAACCUUUUAUGUAAAAACUGACGUUGAGGGACGAAGGCCUGGGUAGCAAAAAGGAUUAGAUACCCUCGUAGUCCAGGCAGAAAAUUAUGAAUGUCAUAGACUAGAAAAAAAAAAAGUAUAACUUGUUGACAAAUAUGGAACUUGAAAAAAGGUGUAUUGACAUACAGACGUGCUAUAAAGUUAAAACUGGCAAUGUUGGAAAAGGUGUAAAAAACUUUUAAUCCUGCUUGUUAGGAAUUUGCAAAGACUUUUUCACCUAGUGUAGUAUGAAUAUGAUUAUACUUAGUUUAUAAAUAAAAGUGCAAGCAUUCCACCUCAAGAGUAAUGUGGCAACGCAGGAACUGAAAUCAUUAGACCGUUUCUGAAACCAGUAGUGAAGUAUGUUAUUUAAUUCGAUGACCCUCGAAAAACCUUACCACAAUUUGAAUG